RNAcentral lists this ribosomal RNA (402 nucleotides) under uncultured bacterium. Its description in RNAcentral is "bacterial SSU rRNA". It matches the Rfam family "Bacterial small subunit ribosomal RNA", at positions 355 to 774 of the family's 1533-position model. The record is from RNAcentral.
UCGGGAACUUUGGGCAAUGGGCGAAAGCCUGACCCAGCAACGCCGCGUGAGGGAUGAAGUAUUUCGGUAUGUAAACCUCGAAAGAAUGGGAAGAAUAAAUGACGGUACCAUUUAUAAGCUCCGGCUAACUACGUGCCAGCAGCCGCGGUAAUACGUAGGGAGCAAGCGUUGUUCGGAUUUACUGGGCGUAAAGGGCGCGUAGGCGGCGCGGUAAGUCACUUGUGAAAUCUCUGAGCUUAACUCAGAACGGCCAAGUGAUACUGCUGUGCUAGAGUGCGGAAGAGGCAACCGGAAUUCUUGGUGUAGCGGUGAAAUGCGUAGAUAUCAAGAGGAACACCUGAGGCGAAGGCGGGAUGCUGGGCCGACACUGACGCUGAUGCGCGAAAGCCAGGGGAGCAAACG